Molecule: long non-coding RNA, 3285 nt
Organism: Platichthys flesus (European flounder)
Lineage: Eukaryota; Metazoa; Chordata; Actinopteri; Pleuronectiformes; Pleuronectidae
Exons: 2
Source: RefSeq, a predicted model, not a curated record
CGGACCCACCGCAGCCGCGCGGCGCCACCGACAGAGAGCGCUUGAACACUGCAAGGGAGACGGGACACUUGUAGCCAGCUCCGGCCAUGGGAGCGAACACAGGCUGCAGCAGCGGCAGCUACCAAACGACUGGGGCCAUGUAAGAGCCUGGUUAAAACUUGGACACACCAGCAGUGUCUGCAGAGGCCCUGUCUCUCCGCGGGUCACAUUGCUGUUUUAAAUAGUGAGAUUAUCCGUCAAACAUGCGCAGAGCAUUCCCCCCCUCCCAAGCUCAUUACGUAACACAAAUCCCGAGUCAAUGGUCACCUCUGUCUUUGAGAGUGUGAACCAGCACAGGAGUGACACCACAGACCUGAUUUGACUUUAAGCCCGGUGAUCUGACUCUGUCCCUGGCUGAGGAGCGGAAGUGAGCAGCAGUCGUUGCCAAUCCAUUGACACUGCAGCCUGAGCUAAGCAUGUGCAGAUCUGCGGUCAGAUGGACUGUGUGGUUCCGGUGUUAAUGUCCAUGCUGUGCACACCGGGUCAUAGCAGCAUGUCCCGCAUGAUCCGUGAGACAAAUGCAACCACGCAUCUUGUCCCAGCGCGUGCAUGUGUACAUCAUCCAUACAGCGUUUACUCACAUAAUCCAACUUCGGCAUGACGGUGGAGCACCCCCCCAUCUUGAACUUGAACAGGUUGAACAGCUCCUCCGGGUGACCCAGUGACUUCAGGAUGUCCAUGAUGCUGCGGGUUGUCUCAGGUGUUUCUCUGUCAAGUCGCUGUGUCCAUGGACGGAGGAGCUGCAGCGGCAGACACCAGACGAACACACGGUCACAGGAGCUCGUCUGAUCGAAUGAUGCCCCUGAUUGGUUGGAAAGUCAUGGGCUUAGGCUUCGACGUCCAAUGGGCGGCCGUAGCGUCUGGUGUGAUGCCCCGCCCCGGCCGACUCUCAACAAACCACGGCCUCUGAUUGGUCGGGGAUGUUAUCUAUGAAGGAAACGUACCUGCUCAAUGAAAUAAUAUCUCAUUAUUAUUAUUAUAUUAUUAUAUUAUGAAAAAAAUACAUAACGAAGGGCUAUCUGCUGGCUGUGUUCACACUGUAUGAGAUGGUUCAUUGGAUGUUUUUAAAACGUAUGGAGAUUUAUGAUUCUUUACAAGAACAAGUGUUUUAAAGAUUGGUCUGUUAUUCAGUCAAAGACAACUUUAUUGUCAAUUCUGAAAUAUGUGCAGGACAAACAAAGGAUUGAAAUGCAGAUUCUCUCUGAUCCCCGGUGUAAACCAUAAGUAAACAGAAUAUAUAAGUAUGUAUUAAGUACAUUAAUAUGUAUAUAUAUAUGGUCUAUUAUUAUGAAUUUACCAAAUGCAUGGAAACUAUAAGUUACACUAACACACAUAUCCAGGAGUUGUUGAACUUAGGCUACUGGACAUGAUUGUGUUACAGUUUUUUUCUAUAUUUACAUAUUUUUAUUGACAGUCCUCCCAAAAUAUUCUUUGCAUGUUUGAACUUCCACAUUAUUUAACUCAUUUUUUCUUUUAUGUAUAUAAUCUAAAUAGUAAAACUUACAUAUGUUUAAUUUGAGUACAUUUCAGAUAAGACAACUAACUUUACUAAAAGCAUUUCAUUCAUUUAUUUCUACUUACCCCAGCAUAUCACUGACCUCUUUAAGAGCAGCUUUACAGAAAAGCUCAGUUUCUCAGUUACAUAACUAUCCUUCAUCGUUUCAAUAAGUCUCGUACUGUGGGUGAUUCUUGCUGUAACCAUUAUCUUCUUAAAGUUUUCUUACUUGCACAUAAAGCUGGUUCGGAAAGCUCAGGAGUAGUGGAGUGUGUACGGAGUGAAGACGCUCAUUGGCUUUGUGAGAUGCUGGAUAUUCAAAAGAAGCAAAGAAACCCUCUUCAGGGAUGUCACCUACAGCCAAGUGGACUGUAUAAAUCUGACUAAGAACCAUGAGGAAUAUGUCAAAGCAGCUACAAAUAGAGCUGAUCUCAAUCCUUUGUGUAAAAAUCAGAGCUCUGCAGUUAAACGCCUCUUGAAAUCUGUGAAUCUGAGUUAACCAUUGAUGGGCAUCGUGCAGGAACAGGACUGGAAGAGUUAUUUCAAGAAAGUGCACAGCGUUUAUGAAAGCAAACCAGAGGACGUGAAAAUAGACUUGACACUGAAGCUGAACACCGGGAUCAGAGCUGCUCAAGCUCUGCUGUCAGAAAAAAGUGAAGUUUUGACAAACAUCUUGAAAGUGGUAAGACGUUCACACUCAAUCACACUUUUGGUUUCAGGGUAUCCGACUCUUCACCAGUGUAGGAGUGAGAUGGUGCAGGACAAAUAUGCAGAGUUUAUCAGGGGGAAGUUGACUGAAGAGUUCAACCGAUGUGCUGUCCAUCUUCAUCAAAGAUAUGGUAAAGUUCAGAAAAUGAGUAUUUGCACAUCGGGAGGAUACAGUUUCCGGAAGAAGAGUUAAAAGGACAAGAGCUGCUCUGUAACUCAACACAAGGAAGUUUGAUUCAACCAACCUUUGGAAUGCUUGUAAUGCAGGAUGAUUUACAACUAACCUCCACCUCAUUCUAAUGUUGGUAUUAUGUUUAAAUGUUCAUCUAUAAAUCCACAACAACACACACAACCUGAAUUACAAUGUUAAACCACAUCUUACCAGAUCAAAUCUAAACAAUGAAACAACGACGUGAAACUUGUUUUAGACUUUCAGGUGUGAAAACGCCCUGAGGAUGUUUUUCAGUUAUGAACUGGGGAAAAAUGUGAAAACUGGGUUUGCCUUUCACGCAGCAGGACAUUGUUUGGUCCGACUUCUCCAGUCUCGGACCAAAAAAGUUUUGUGUCCAUUGCACGCUGGGACUUUUGAGGAAAUAUUCCCGCUCUAUUCUCACAAAAGCUCACUCUGACAUUUGCUGGACAUUUUUAUAAAUGGUUGGCAAGAAAUGUUCUGGAAAAUAUCUGGAGCAUCGGAUUUAAAGAAGGAAAAAGAAACAGAAGUUGUUUUUUUAUUUGCACUUUGAAAGUAGUUUGUAAAUAUCUUUGUUUUAGUGACUUAAAAUGGCUUUUGUGUGUAGACGAGAGGCUCAAAUCCAGAGGGAAAAGUUUGUUGUAUCCGGAUCAGUGUGUACAGAUUGAUACAGCCACUCGAAGAAUACUUCUGUGUUUCUCUAAAAGCAGCUAAAUGGAUAUCAGGUAGCGUUAGCACAGACAGAGAAGCACACACACACACACACGUUUGUCUCUCAUUGUGUCUUUACUUACAAUAUAUCACAAAUGGUGUAUUACACAAUUAUACUGGAGUGGAGUUUGUUUUUUACAUA